Molecule: ribosomal RNA, 474 nt
Filed under: uncultured bacterium
Lineage: Bacteria
Description: SSU rRNA
Rfam family: Bacterial small subunit ribosomal RNA
Source: RNAcentral
AGGACGAACGCUGGCGGCGUGCUUAACACAUGCAAGUCGAGCGGAAAGGCCCUUCGGGGUACUCGAGCGGCGAACGGGUGAGUAACACGUGAGCAACCUGCCCUUAGCUCCGGGAUAGCUCCGGGAAACCGGAAUUAAUACCGGAUACGACCACGGCCGACAUCUGCUGUGGUGGAAAGGAUUCCGGCUAAGGAUGGGCUCGCGGCCUAUCAGCUAGUUGGUGGAGUAACGGCCCACCAAGGCGACGACGGGUAGCCGGCCUGAGAGGGCGACCGGCCACACUGGGACUGAGACACGGCCCAGACUCCUACGGGAGGCAGCAGUUGGGAAUAUUGCGCAAUGGGCGAAAGCCUGACGCAGCGACGCCGCGUGGGGGAUGAAGGCCUUCGGGUUGUAAACCCCUUUCAGCAGGGACGAAGCGAAAGUGACGGUACCUGCAGAAGAAGCGCCGGCUAACUACGUGCCAGCAGCCGC